UUGAUGGAAGCCAAACCAGAGGCUAAUCACUGUUAAUGAUUUUAUUGAAUUUUUUAUUCCUAUCAAG
This 67-nucleotide transfer RNA is filed under the name Homologenus malayensis. RNAcentral describes it as "tRNA-Asn". The record is from RNAcentral. Lineage: Eukaryota; Metazoa; Arthropoda; Malacostraca; Decapoda; Homolidae.